This 403-nucleotide ribosomal RNA is filed under the name bacterium. Its description in RNAcentral is "partial 16S ribosomal RNA". It matches the Rfam family "Bacterial small subunit ribosomal RNA", at positions 355 to 776 of the family's 1533-position model. The record is from RNAcentral.
UGGGGAAUAUUGCGCAAUGGGGGAAACCCUGAUGCAGCGACGCCGCGUGAACGAAGAAGGUAUUCGUAUCGUAAAGUUCUGUCCUAUGGGAAGAUAAUGACAGUACCAUAGAAGAAAGCUCCGGCUAAAUACGUGCCAGCAGCCGCGGUAAUACGUAUGGAGCGAGCGUUGUCCGGAAUUAUUGGGCGUAAAGGGUACGCAGGCGGUUUAAUAAGUCGAAUGUUAAAGAUCGGGGCUCAACCCCGCAAAGCAUUGGAAACUGAUAAACUUGAGUAGUGGAGAGGAAAGUGGAAUUCCUAGUGUAGUGGUGAAAUACGUAGAUAUUAGGAGGAAUACCAGUAGCGAAGGCGACUUUCUGGACACAAACUGACGCUGAGGUACGAAAGCGUGGGGAGCAAACAGG